UAUAACCGGCGAUUUCCGAAUGGGGAAACCCAGUGUGAUUCGUCACACUAUCAUUAACUGAAUCCAUAGGUUAAUGAGGCGAACCGGGGGAACUGAAACAUCUAAGUACCCCGAGGAAAAGAAAUCAACCGAGAUUCCCCCAGUAGCGGCGAGCGAACGGGGAGGAGCCCAGAGCCUGAAUCAGCAUGUGUGUUAGUGGAAGCGUCUGGAAAGGCGCGCGAUACAGGGUGACAGCCCCGUACACAAAAGCGCAUGUGCUGUGAGCUCGAUGAGUAGGGCGGGACACGUGGUAUCCUGUCUGAAUAUGGGGGGACCAUCCUCCAAGGCUAAAUACUCCUGACUGACCGAUAGUGAACCAGUACCGUGAGGGAAAGGCGAAAAGAACCCCGGCGAGGGGAGUGAAAAAGAACCUGAAACCGUGUACGUACAAGCAGUGGGAGCACCCUUCGGGGUGUGACUGCGUACCUUUUGUAUAAUGGGUCAGCGACUUAUAUUC
Molecule: ribosomal RNA, 496 nt
Filed under: Salmonella enterica subsp. enterica serovar Typhimurium
Lineage: Bacteria; Pseudomonadati; Pseudomonadota; Gammaproteobacteria; Enterobacterales; Enterobacteriaceae
Description: partial 23S ribosomal RNA
Rfam family: Bacterial large subunit ribosomal RNA
Source: RNAcentral